AUGGAGCUGGCCAGGCCCUGGGGAGGAGUCGGCAAGGAGCUCUCCAAGGGUUUAGGAUACAAAGGUGGCUCUGCCAGUCCCUUUCAGGAAACACAGGUGCUGAAAGGCAUCGAGAUGCUCCAUGGAGUGCAAGGGGAUGAGCAGUGGGAGACUCCAGUGCUUUCCUUUGUCUUUUUUCUUUUUUCUUUUUUCUUUUUUCUUUUUUCUUUUUUCUUUUUUCUUUUUUCUUUUUUCUUUUUUCUUUUUUCUUCUUUCUUCUUUCUUCUUUCUUCUUUCUUCUUUCUUCUUUCUUCUUUCUUCUUUCUCCUUUCCUUUCCUUUCCUUUCCUUUCCUUUCCUUUCCUUUCCUUUCCUUUCCUUUCCUUUCCUUUCCUUUCCUUUCCUUUCCUUUCCUUUCCUUUCCUUUCCUUUCCUUUCCUUUCCUUUCCUUUCCUUUCCUUUCCUUUCCUUUCCUUUCCUUUCCUUUCCUUUCCUUUCCUUUCCUUUCCUUUCCUUUUUUCUUUUCCCUGUUCUUUUCUUUUUUCUUCUUUCCCUUUCCUUCCUGUUUCCUUUCUUCCUUUUCUUUUUCAUUCCUCCUUUUCUCCUUCUCCUCCUUUCCUGCUUUUCCUUCUUUUCUCCUUUUCUGUUCCCCUUUCCCCCUUUCUCCUUUUCCUGUUUUCCUUUCCUUUUCAACACCCCAAUCCCGUUCCUGGCUCACUUGGGGAAGUGGGAAGCUGCCCUCAGGCCCCACAAGUUGCCCAAAUUCCCCAGGUUCUGGCUCUUUUUCUACGUGCUGGCUCCUAAGAGAAAAAAAAACCCAAACCACAAGGAAUUUUCCUUUAAAGCUGCUGGAAUUUCUCACCCUCCGGCAUUGCUGCAGACCAUGGGCACCCGAGCUCAACUCCCUGCGCCUUCAAAAAGAGGGAAAAAAAGGCAAAAAGAUGGAAAACACCAAGAAAAAGAGGAAUAUCAGCCCUUGGGGGCCAGUGGCUCAGGUGGCUUUUGCCAAGCUCCAUCCUUCACCUGGGGAUUCCCAGUGGAACCCUCGGGGCAGGUGAUUCCCCGCUUUGGGAAGACCCUUCCAGAGGUACAAAAUAUUGAUUUUUGGUUGGUUUUGGACAUUCUGAAGGUUUGGCCUCAGCACAAAUGA
This 1128-nucleotide long non-coding RNA is filed under the name Corvus moneduloides (New Caledonian crow). RNAcentral's name for it is "lncRNA (ENSCMUG00000018072.1)". Lineage: Eukaryota; Metazoa; Chordata; Aves; Passeriformes; Corvidae. The record is from RNAcentral.